Molecule: ribosomal RNA, 546 nt
Filed under: Bifidobacterium bifidum
Lineage: Bacteria; Bacillati; Actinomycetota; Actinomycetes; Bifidobacteriales; Bifidobacteriaceae
Description: bacterial SSU rRNA
Rfam family: Bacterial small subunit ribosomal RNA
Source: RNAcentral
UCUCCUGGAAAACGGGUGGUAAUGCCGGAUGUUCCACAUGAUCGCAUGUGAUUGUGGGAAAGAUUCUAUCGGCGUGGGAUGGGGUCGCGUCCUAUCAGCUUGUUGGUGAGGUAACGGCUCACCAAGGCUUCGACGGGUAGCCGGCCUGAGAGGGCGACCGGCCACAUUGGGACUGAGAUACGGCCCAGACUCCUACGGGAGGCAGCAGUGGGGAAUAUUGCACAAUGGGCGCAAGCCUGAUGCAGCGACGCCGCGUGAGGGAUGGAGGCCUUCGGGUUGUAAACCUCUUUUGUUUGGGAGCAAGCCUUCGGGUGAGUGUACCUUUCGAAUAAGCGCCGGCUAACUACGUGCCAGCAGCCGCGGUAAUACGUAGGGCGCAAGCGUUAUCCGGAUUUAUUGGGCGUAAAGGGCUCGUAGGCGGCUCGUCGCGUCCGGUGUGAAAGUCCAUCGCUUAACGGUGGAUCUGCGCCGGGUACGGGCGGGCUGGAGUGCGGUAGGGGAGACUGGAAUUCCCGGUGUAACGGUGGAAUGUGUAGAUAUCGGAAA